Molecule: long non-coding RNA, 541 nt
Organism: Xiphias gladius (swordfish)
Lineage: Eukaryota; Metazoa; Chordata; Actinopteri; Istiophoriformes; Xiphiidae
Exons: 3
Source: RefSeq, a predicted model, not a curated record
CUCCCAGUAUUAGUCCAGACCUCCGAAUCACCACCGAGGUCGGAUUUGUUCAGCGUUUCAAGUAGGUAUGUUGUUGUGGUGUCAUUGACAGCUGUUUCCCAGGUUGGCUCUGUAGGUUGGAUACAGAUUGAGGACGUCCUCCGUCUUCACCGCCGGCCACCAUGACUGCAGCUGCAUCCAUGACAAAAAGCAACGGAAAAAUGGCUACAAAAAUACAGACCAGCAUGGGUAAGACUGAUGCAGCUGCACAGGUUGUUAUAAGGUGACUUACAGAAAUAACAACUCGACUCAACAUAGUUCUCUGAUCUUUGAGGAAAAACACUAGCAACCACUACUGCAGCUUCCAUGUCGAGUGACCAUGUCGUGACUCCAGCUCCUUCUUUAAAAAGGGAGUACAGUGAAAAUAACUCUCAGAUCACCACUGGGAGAAGAGCACGACUUGUGAUGAGGGGCAGUAGGUAACACUGCUUCUUUUGGACGGAUCACAGCCUGAAAAGGCGCCAUACAUCGCCAUACUCUCUGUAAAUGUCCUGUCAUCUUU